RNAcentral lists this long non-coding RNA (1324 nucleotides) under Capra hircus (goat). RNAcentral's name for it is "lncRNA (ENSCHIG00010021927.1)". The record is from RNAcentral. Lineage: Eukaryota; Metazoa; Chordata; Mammalia; Artiodactyla; Bovidae.
CCACUUGACUUCACGUUCCAGGAUGUCUGGCUCUAGGUGAGUGAUCACACGGAUUGGUCACUGGUAAUUGCGUUUUCAGGAACUCAGCUUGGACAGAAAUCAGAGGCUGCCAAAGGGGCUGGGACACGGGCCACCAGAGGCAUCUGCUAUAUCAUGUGAUCAACUGCUUCCACGCCCCUGAGGACCUUAGAAGAGGCUCUAGCUAGUGAGGUGCCCAACAGCGGAAGCUUUUAGCUUCAGGCUUUAAUCUGCCUUUGUGGAGGAACUCACGUUUGUCCUGGAGGGAAUGGCUGAGGCAGUCUGCUCUCCACACAGGGUGUAUCCUCCUUCCCUGGUCCCCGCUACUUGGAGUUCCAGCGUAGCUCUCAGGCGCAUCCUGCCUGCUCCUCUGGCUCUCCAGCAUUCCAUGCAUGAAGUGAAAGGCAACUGGGGAGCACCAGUCUUGCUGUGGGCUUUACUGGGAUGUUGCUGAGAUUUAAGGCUGAUUCAGUCAUCAGUUGUCUUGUUAGAUAAACUAGAGAGAGGGGGAAAAGCCUGGAGUUAGCAAUUUGUAGACAGGAAGCAAUGCCCCGGGGGAAUAGAGGCGGCCUUAGUUACUGUCAAGGAAGAAAUCUCUCCCUCAGGACCAUUUCAGAUUUUUCAAUAGUUCACCAGAGAGCCAAUGAAUUAACCAUCUGCUGGCCAAUGCAGGCAAGUCCUCUGACGGGUCUUUAAAGGAAAGGUUUCGGGACUUCCCUGGUGGUCCGGUGGCUGAGACUUCAUGCUCCCAACGCAGGGGGUGUGGGUUUGAUCCCUAGUCAAGGAGCGAGAUCCCACAUGCCACAACUGAGAGCUAGCACAAAUAAACAAACAAACAAAUAUAAGUAGAGGAAAGUUUCAAAAGAAAAGCAGGAAUACAGAGCAGUGCCCAUGAGAGAUAGAGCUCAGUGAUUUCCCUGCGUUUGUUAGCUUGGUCUCCCCUUUCUCUGNNNNNNNNNGCAUCCUUAGGAUAUAAACAGUCUGUGUGCCCACCUUCGCAAGCAGCAAAGAGGAAGCUGGUUUCAUUCCCAUCAGGGUUGGUGGCUGGCGAGGAGAAGAUUCUCCCAAGGGUGAAGUGGGUGGUGACAGCAACUGAGGAAGAGAAAAGGGGACACAGGAGUGGAGAGGUCCAGAAGGAAAGCUAUAGAAUGGUGGGCAAUCCCUGUAACAGUCAGGGUGUGGUUUUAGAAUGGCUUUCAGGCUAAAAAACUGGGGGAGGAGAGCUCAAUUCAGAAAAAUUGGGAGGACGGGGAUUUCCCUGGUGGUUCCGUGCUUAAGACUCUGCCUUCCAAUGCAGGGGGCACAG